UCGAGAAUCUUUUGCAAUGCGCGAAAGCGUGACAAUGCGACGCCGCGUGAGCGAUGAAGAUCUUCGGGUUGUAAAGCUCUGUCAGCCCGGAUGAAACUCAGCACAUUAAUAAUGUGCUGAGUUGACAGUACGGGCAGAGGAAGCCACGGCUAACUCCGUGCCAGCAGCCGCGGUAAUACGGAGGUGGCGAGCGUUGUUCGGAUUUAUUGGGUGUAAAGGGUAUGUAGGUGUCCUGUUAAGUCCUUUUUGAAAUCCUUUGGCUCAACCAAAGAAUUGGGGAGGAAACUGGCGGGAUUGAGUACAGGAGAGGAGAGCGGAAUUCCCGGUGUAAGGGUGAAAUCUGUAGAUAUCGGGAGGAACACCAGUGGCGAAAGCGGCUCUCUGGCCUGAUACUGACACU
This 400-nucleotide ribosomal RNA is filed under the name uncultured bacterium. Its description in RNAcentral is "bacterial SSU rRNA". It matches the Rfam family "Bacterial small subunit ribosomal RNA", at positions 355 to 747 of the family's 1533-position model. The record is from RNAcentral.